UGGUAGGGAUGGAUAUGAAUUAGCUGU
This 27-nucleotide non-coding RNA is filed under the name Homo sapiens (human). Lineage: Eukaryota; Metazoa; Chordata; Mammalia; Primates; Hominidae. The record is from RNAcentral.